Long non-coding RNA from Callithrix jacchus (white-tufted-ear marmoset), 2279 nucleotides. NCBI's taxonomy places the organism in Eukaryota, Metazoa, Chordata, Mammalia, Primates, Cebidae. The record is from Ensembl.
GUGGUCAGCCUGACUGCUUCAGCACACAGGUGUCCAACCUUCAAGGCAGAAAGAAGACGGGGUCACCUCUCAACCCCUGGACUCCAUGUGUGUGCAAUUUUCAGAGUGUUGUUUCAGGUGCUGAUUGAGGGAGCAAGGAGAGGCACUCAGCACACAGCAGCUGCAGCACCAGACAGGAAGUCACCAAAGAGGGAGUCCAGGUCAAAAGGCACUUGGGGACACAACAGAAGCAACCACAAAGACCUUGUCUGAAUCCUGACUCCAACAAACCACCUGGCAAAAGAUAUUUUGAGACAAGAGAAAUUGAAAGAUUGACAAGGGGUUAGAUAUGAAGGGUGUAUUUUAAUUUUGUUGGGUGUGAUAAUGAUAAUUUUAAAAAUAUUUCUUGGCUGAGCAGGUGGUCCAUGCCUGUAAUCCCAGCACUUUGGGAGGCUGAGAGAGGAGAAUUGUGUGAGCCCAGGAGUUCGAGACCAGCCUGAGCAACAUAGCAAGACCUCAACUCUACAGAAAAUUUUAAAACUUAGCUACUCUGGGGCUGAGGCUGCGGCAAGCCAUGGUGGCCAUUGCGCUCCAGCUGGGUCACAGUGAGACCCCGCCUCUACUAAAUUAAUUAAUUAAUUAAAUUUCCUUAUGUUGGUGGAAUACAAAGAAUCAUUUACAGAUAAAAUGACGUGCUGUCUUCUGGGAUUUCCUUUAAAUACUCUAGCAAAGCAAUAGACAAAAGCUGGGAGGCAGAUAAUGUAUGAAGCAAAACUGAACAACAUUGGUAAUUAUUUUUUUAAAUUUUAUUUGACAUCCUGCAAAGCUUUAUUCUUUAUAGGAACAGUCAGUGCCCAUCACUUCCUAUCAACAGCAAAUAAAGAGCUGCUCUCUCUAGAGGGUUGUCAGUAGUCCCAUGUGGUCCAGUGAGAUCCAGAAGUUUCCAGGAGACCUUCAAUCCUGAGUCCCUUUCAGUCAUCAUCACAUGACUCUGAUUCUUCUGCUGAGUUGGACACACUCUCUGUCAGGUCUUCUUCCAUCUGCUGGACGCUUCCCAACUGUGCAUCCACAUGUAUUUGAUGAUCAUCUUAAAUUUAGCCAAAAAGACUCAGAACGUCAGCCUGCUCCGGGGCCAGCAUAUCGCCCUCCUUGCACACCUCAUAGUCAGACAGCAGGAGUUUUACAGUUUGGGAUCUUACAUUUAGGAUUUAGUCCAUUUUGAGGUAAUUUCUGUAUGUGGCAAAGGUAAGAGCUGAAAUUCAUUCUUUUGCAUGUGGAUAUCCUAUUUUCCCAACAGCGUUUGCUGAGGAAAUUAUCUUUUCCAUGCUGUGAGGCCUUGUCAAAGAUUAUUUGACAAUAUAUGUGAGGGUUUAUUUCUGGACUCUAUUCUGUCUUUAUGCCAGUAUCAUACUGUUUUGAUCACUAUAGCUUUGCAAUAUGUUUUGAAAUCAGAAUGUGUAAGGCCUCCAGCUUCUUUUUCCCUAUAAGAUUGCUUUGGCUAUUUGGGGUUCUUUCAGAUUUUGUGGAUUUUUAAAAAUGUUUCUUCAAAAAUGCCAUUGGGAUUUUGAUAGGGAUUGCAUGGAAUCUGUAGAUUGCUUUAGUGUAUUAGACCAUUCUCACAUUGCUAUAAAGAAAAAUCUGAGACUGGGUAAUUUAUAAAGAAAAGAGGCUUAACUGGCUCACAGUUCUGCAGACUACACAGGAAGCAUAAUGGCUUCUGCUUCUGGGGAGGCCUUAGAAAGCUUACAAUCAUGGUGGAAGGGAAUGAGGGAGCAAGGCAUCUAAGAUGGUGUGAGCAGAAGCAAGGCAGUGGAGGUGCUACACACUUUUAAACAACCAGAUCUCAUGAGAAUUAACUCACUAUUAUGAAGACAGUACCAAGAGAAAUGGUGCUAAACCAUUCAUGAGAAACAGACCCCAUGAUCCAAUCACCUCCCAUAAGGCCACACCUCCAACAUUGGGCAUUACAAUUCGACAUGAGAUUUUGGCAAAGACACAAAUCCAAACUUUAUCAGGUAGUAUGAACAUUUCAACAACAUAAAUCUUCCUAUCCAUGAACAUGGAUGUCUUUACAUUUAUUUGUUUCUUCUUUAAUUUACUUCAGCAACAUUUUGUGGUUUUCAGUGUAGCUUUCAUUUCCUUGGUAAAAUUUAUUCCUAAAUGCUUUAUUCUUUUUGAUGCUAUUAUAAAUAGGAUUAUUUUUAAAUUUCUUUUUCUGAUAAUUCAUUAAUGCAGAAACACAACUGACUUUUGCAUGUGAUUUUAUGUCCUGAAACUUUUCUGAAUACAUUGAGUCAUUA